CAGUGAACGGACGCAUUUCGUUACUAGGAUGGUAACGACAAAGGAAUGAACAAGGAUCACCUCUCGGAUGAGGCAGGGAAUAAAACAUCAGGAUGAUGUUAAGGACACCGCUCAGGGAACAAGUGAUGAGAGCUAACUAGGAUAGUUAGUGGACCAGGAUGGGUCAAGGACACCGCUAGGAUGGCGAUGAAAGGAUUAAGCUGAAGGAUUGCAGCGCACUUAUCAAGGAAUAGAUGCAGGGAGCACUCUUAGUAGCUGGAUUGCUGCGAGUAAGACUAUAACCCCGAUGGGCUUUUGCCCUCGGGGUUUUUCUU
This 314-nucleotide non-coding RNA is filed under the name Vibrio palustris. The record is from RNAcentral. Lineage: Bacteria; Pseudomonadati; Pseudomonadota; Gammaproteobacteria; Vibrionales; Vibrionaceae.